Molecule: unclassified non-coding RNA, 329 nt
Filed under: soil metagenome
Description: partial contains 5.8S ribosomal RNA, internal transcribed spacer 2, and large subunit ribosomal RNA
Rfam family: 5.8S ribosomal RNA (bases 1-120)
Source: RNAcentral
GAUGAAGAACGCAGCGAAAUGCGAUAAUUAAUGUGAAUUGCAGAAUUUAGUGAAUCAUCGAAUCUUUGAACGCACAUUGCGCCCCUUGGUAUUCCGGGGGGCAUGCCUGUUCGAGCGUCAUUUCAACCCUCAAGCUCUGCUUGGUCUUGGGCCGCGCCGGCAACGGCGGGCCUCAAAAACAGUGGCGGCGCCAUCUGGUCCCUCAGCGUAGUAAUUCUUCUCGCUGCUGGGCCCCGGUGGACGCUUGCCAGCAACCCCAAACUUUCUAUGGUUGACCUCGGAUCAGGUAGGGAUACCCGCUGAACUUAAGCAUAUCAAUAAGCGGAGGA